GGUACCUCUAGCAGAGGAUGUUCACUUCCUCUGGAGCGUAUAGAUGAUGAAGUAUAACGAUGCAUAUGAACUUGCUCAAUAGUAGUGCAAGAUGACAAAUGUAAAUUGGGCUGAUAACGUGACAUGGACUUCUCUUCCGGAAGUGGAGGAUAAUAUGAUGACAAAGGAGCUGAAGAACCAACAGAACCUGGAAACAAUGAGGCCGAAGUUCUAGGAGGUGAAGAUGAGACAAGACGUUCAUGCAAAGGGGGUUCCAAUGGAAGAGGGGGUGGAGGAGAAG
RNAcentral lists this unclassified non-coding RNA (280 nucleotides) under Hevea brasiliensis (rubber tree). The record is from RNAcentral. Lineage: Eukaryota; Viridiplantae; Streptophyta; Magnoliopsida; Malpighiales; Euphorbiaceae.